UGCUGCAACAUGGCCUGGAACUCCGAGUCAUAGCGCUGGUUGAUGUCGUCCCCAAUGAUAGCGAGCUGCCGACCCACCUGCCCCAUGGUGCUGGAGGAAUGGGAGCCAGUUUAUAGGCCUCAGGGGGUACCCUUUCAAGGCGAGGGGACCUGUGUACAGCCCACCGGUGCUCUCCCCAUUCCUGCCUGCAGUGAGCUGAGGAAGCCUUCUCUGCGGCUCCCCCCCCCCCCCACAGGGGCCACUUUGUCCAAGCAUUGGAGGUGGAACAAGCAUGCCCACAGAGGUCUGUGGGGCCACUGGAGGUCUGCCCCAAGACCUUCACCAGGGAGGAGAAGGAGUGUCUGCUUGACGGAGACCUCAGGCUGGCCUCUUCGAAGGUCGGGGCAACUCCUUGGAACUGACUCCUCACCUUGUACAAGCAGCUUCAGAAAUCAGCCAUGGCCAAAGUUUCCUCUCAAGGAAAGCUUGUCUGAUGAGGAGAAAGGCAAGGAAGAGGAAAUGGAGGAAGAUGACAGCUCCUUCAAGCUCUGUGUCCCAGGCAUUGUCCCCCUGCAGUCACCGCUGCCUAAGACUUUUAGAUCAACCGAUACAGUGGGUUUCGUGGAGUCGGAGUUAAAGAACCUUCUGAUAGUUCAACGGGAGUCCGGUCUCUGGAAGAUGGGCAGCCAUGAGGGCCGAGAGCUGCUGACCCAGCCAGAGAUCACCCUGGAGGAGGGACACCAAGCUGAGGGGGAAGGAAGCCACCCACCAGCCUUUGGGGAAAUGCUGGGGACCUAGGGGAGGGGCGCUGAGGCAGCUGAAACACCACUCUAGGCUGGAGGGAAGGGUGCAGAGUCCCCGUGGUGUGGUAUCCAGGACAGAGCACUUGCUCCUGGAGGAGAUGGACGAGAUGGGAAACCGGUCCCCAGAGUGAAGCUGGUGUUGGCCCGAGUCUGCUUGCUCCCAGGUCCCUUCAGCCCCAGUAGAAGUUUAGCCUCUCUCAUGAGGGCACACCCGAGGCGCCCCUGGGGCCAAGGGGUCUUAAGAUCAAUGGUAUUCAUGCGUCUGCAGGGUGAGCUGCCCAGCAGUGUCUCCACUCACCAGACUCAGGCCUGUGCUAUUAUUAAUAAAACCCUCUUUGACUUUG
RNA transcript from Nyctereutes procyonoides (raccoon dog), 1126 nucleotides. RefSeq lists it as uncharacterized. The record is from RefSeq and is a predicted model, not a curated record. The transcript has 8 exons. NCBI's taxonomy places the organism in Eukaryota, Metazoa, Chordata, Mammalia, Carnivora, Canidae.